GACGAACGCUGGCGGCGUGCUUAACACAUGCAAGUCGUGCGGUAAGGCCCUUUCGGGGGUACACGAGCGGCGGACGGGUGAGUAACACGUGAGCAACCUGCCCUUCCCUUUGGGAUAACUGCCGGAAACGGUGGCUAAUACCGGAUAUGACUUCCUCACGCAUGUGGGGUGGUGGAAAGCCAUCGGGGGGUGUGGGAUGAGCUCUCGGUCUAUCAGCUGGGUGUUGGGGUGAUGGCCUACCAAGGCAUCGACGGGUAGCCGACCCGUGAGGGUGACCCGCCACACGGGAACGGAGACACCGUCCAGAGUCCUAAGGGAGGCACCAGCAGGGAAUGUUGGGCAAUGGGCGAAAGCUUGGACGAGCGAUGCCGCGUGAGUGACGAAGGUCUUCGGAGCGGAAAACGCUGUUAUUGGGGAAGAACAAAUGUGUAAGGAACCAUGCACGUCGUGACGGUACCGAAUAAGAAAGCCCCGGCUAACUACGUG
RNAcentral lists this ribosomal RNA (486 nucleotides) under uncultured bacterium. RNAcentral's name for it is "partial 16S ribosomal RNA". It matches the Rfam family "Bacterial small subunit ribosomal RNA", at positions 28 to 507 of the family's 1533-position model. The record is from RNAcentral.